This 460-nucleotide ribosomal RNA is filed under the name uncultured bacterium. RNAcentral describes it as "partial 16S ribosomal RNA". It matches the Rfam family "Bacterial small subunit ribosomal RNA", at positions 338 to 795 of the family's 1533-position model. The record is from RNAcentral.
CCUACGGGAGGCUGCAGUGAGGAAUAUUGGUCAAUGGGCGCGAGCCUGACCCAGCCAAGUCGCGUGAAGGAUGACUGCCCUACGGGUUGUAAACUUCUUUUAUAAAGGAAUAAAGUGAGGCACGUGAUCCUUUUUGUAUGUACUUUAUGAAUAAGGAUCGGCUAACCCCGUGCCAGCAGCCGCGGUAAUACGGAGGAUCCGAGCGUUAUCCGGAUUUAUUGUGUUUAAAGGGAGCGUAGAUGGGUUGUUAAGUCAGUUGUGAAAGUUUGGGGCUCAACCGUAAAAUUGCAAUUGAUACUGGCUUGCUGGAAUGCGGAUGCGGUGGGAGGAAUGUGUGGUGUAGGGGUGAAAUGCAUAGAUAUCACAAAGAACACCGAUUGCGAAGGCGUCUCACGAAUCCGCGAUUGACGCUGAGGAACGAAAGCGUGGGUAGCAAACAGGAUUAGAUACCCGAGUAGUC